Long non-coding RNA from Dreissena polymorpha, 1600 nucleotides. RefSeq lists it as uncharacterized. The record is from RefSeq and is a predicted model, not a curated record. The transcript is spliced from 2 exons. Lineage: Eukaryota; Metazoa; Mollusca; Bivalvia; Myida; Dreissenidae.
ACAAGUAUUUCUCUCUGUCUAGAGUUUCUGAAAUUUCAUAUUUUUCUAUAAUAUAUCUUCAUUAUUUGCUAUAUCUUUUCAGAUUCUACUACGUAAGUAUAAAGAACAAUCCAUUCGUAAACAUUGUACCGACUAUCUCGUAGAAUGCACUCUUACAAAUUUCAUUAUCAACACAUAAAUAUAACCAAUACCUUUCAUAGCAGAUGCAACCUUGUCCACACUUUACAGUCACAAAACCAGUAUGACAUAUUACGAGUACGUGUGCGCAGUGUGUACAAUAGACGACCAGAAAAACAUAAUACAAUUCUUGAAAUUACACAGAUAAAGGGAUUUUUUCUCAUAAAACACUUAUCUAUGAAAUAUUUUAUAAAUGCUUGGUUCUUGUAUAUAUUAUUUUGUAAAUGUGGUUACUGUUGUUUUCCAAAUAUUGAUAAAACUAUCUAUAAAAGCCUGUCGGUUUUGUAGCAAUACCAGUAACCUCACCAGACGGAGUGUAGAUACUGUUAAUACAGAUACUAAAAGGCUGCAGCAUAACGAAAAUGUGUACCAAAACGUCUUCUAAACGAAGGUUUUCUAAUAAAGUUUAGUGACGACCAAGGUCGUUAAAAUACCCUAUUAUUUUUUAAUCGCUUAGUGAAUGUUACAGAAACAAAUUUUGUGACAUUUCAAUAAUGGGCAUAAUUGUUUAAGAUGCAAUUUUAAAAUUCAUAAUAUAAUAGAACUACCUAAAAUUUGCGUUUUUGUAUUUCUAUAAUUAUGAGACCACAGAGGAACACACGUUUAAAACUGUCUUGCCCUAUGCAAUACACAUUUCAAAUGGUACUUUAUUCUUUCUGGAAUAACGUCUAAUUAAUAUUGUGUUUGUCUUUAAAAAAAACUUCUAGAUGUGUUUAUGUAAUCGUUUCAAUAAAUGAACAAUAUGAUAAUCUGGUUCCUUAUGCGUCAACAUUUUUACAAACUUAAGACACUGUUAAAACACAAUUUUAAUGUGUUCGUAUGCAAAAGUACUCUUAUCAAUAUGUUUUAGUUUUAGUUUAGUUUAUUUCACAAGUUCCAAAAGGUAAAAAAAAACACGAGGACAACAUAUUUACAAGCAAUAAAUGGCCCGACAGCGCUUACAAAGUAUAUGAUAAUAAACAUAUACAUGCAGGUGGUAAAAGAAAAAAAAACAGAAAAAAAAUCGUUUCAAUACAUGAGAGCAUAUAUAUAUCAACUUGUAACGUGUAUAAUGUCAUCGUUGUCUUUGAAUCUAAACUUUGUUUCCUUUUUGUAACCACAAAGUCUCGUAGUAUUUUCACCAGGCUAUUGCUAAUUUGGGACUUCUACUUUUCUCUGUAAUGUCUUAAAUAUAACCUUAACCUUCCUCAACUGUAAAAUAACAUCCUUCUAUAAUCCAUUGUAACAGCUGAGUAGCUUUUAAAACUCCAAAGAUCACCUUCUCCCUCACCUUUAUAUUUGUUUUAGUUUUUCUCUGACGGAUUUCCCAAUGUUUCAUAAAACUGUGUAAUUACAUAAUUUAUAUAUGCUCACCUGUUGUCACUAUACAUGUAUGUUCAUGGCAGUAUGUGACCUGUGAAUAUAAUAAAGAUGUCUUAUUGUU